This 463-nucleotide ribosomal RNA is filed under the name uncultured bacterium. RNAcentral's name for it is "partial 16S ribosomal RNA". It matches the Rfam family "Bacterial small subunit ribosomal RNA", at positions 28 to 506 of the family's 1533-position model. The record is from RNAcentral.
GACGAACGCUGGCGGCGUGCUUAACACAUGCAAGUCGAACGGAAAGGCCCUGCUUGCAGGGUACUCGAGUGGCGAACGGGUGAGUAACACGUGGGUGAUCUGCCCUGCACUUCGGGAUAAGCCUGGGAAACUGGGUCUAAUACCGGAUAGGAGCCAUUUUUAGUGUGAUGGUUGGAAAGUUUUUUCGGUGUAGGAUGAGCUCGCGGCCUAUCAGCUUGUUGGUGGGGUAAUGGCCUACCAAGGCGGCGACGGGUAGCCGGCCUGAGAGGGUGGACGGCCAAAUGGGGACGGGGAAAGGGCCCAAACCCCUACGGGAGGAAGGAGUGGGGAAUAUUCCAAAAGGGGCGAAGGCUGUGGGGAGGGACGCCGCGGGGGGGAUGAGGGCCUUCGGGUUGAAAACCCCUUUCGCUGGGAACGAAGCUUUUGUGAGGGAACCAAGAAAAGAAACCCCGGUGAAUUACGU